CCUACGGGUGGCAGCAGUGGGGAAUAUUGCACAAUGGGGGAAACCCUGAUGCAGCGACGCCGCGUGAGCGAUGAAGUAUUUCGGUAUGUAAAGCCCUAUCAGCAGGGAAGAAGGUGACGGUACCUGACUAAGAAGCCCCGGCUAACUACGUGCCAGCAGCCGCGGUAAUACGUAGGGGGCAAGCGUUAUCCGGAUUUACUGGGUGUAAAGGGAGCGUAGACGGCAGUGCAAGCCAGAAGUGAAAGCCCGGGGCUCAACCCCGGGACUGCAUUUGGAACUGUGUGGCUGGAGUGUAGGAGAGGCAAGCGGAAUUCCUAGUGUAGCGGUGAAAUGCGUAGAUAUUAGGAGGAACACCAGUGGCGAAGGCGGCCUGCUGGACGAUGACUGACGUUGAGGCUCGAAGGCGUGGGGAGCAAACAGGAUUAGAUACCCCUGUAGUC
RNAcentral lists this ribosomal RNA (440 nucleotides) under uncultured bacterium. RNAcentral describes it as "partial 16S ribosomal RNA". It matches the Rfam family "Bacterial small subunit ribosomal RNA", at positions 338 to 795 of the family's 1533-position model. The record is from RNAcentral.